This 320-nucleotide ribosomal RNA is filed under the name uncultured Prevotella sp. RNAcentral describes it as "partial 16S ribosomal RNA". The record is from RNAcentral. Lineage: Bacteria; Pseudomonadati; Bacteroidota; Bacteroidia; Bacteroidales; Prevotellaceae.
GGAGUCUGGACCGUGUCUCAGUUCCAGUGUGGGGGACCUUCCUCUCAGAACCCCUACUGAUCGAAGGCCAGGUGGGCCGUCACCCCGCCUGCUGCCUAAUCAGACGCAUCCCCAUCCCGAGGCGGCAAGCCUUUCGUGCAACUCUGAUGCCAUCAUCGCACGACAUCCGGCAUUAAUCCGACUUUCGCCGGGCUAUCCUCUAGUAAGGGGAAGGUUGGAUACGCGUUACUCACCCGUGCGCCGGUCGCCAGCAAAGAUAGCAAGCUAUCUCCCUGCUGCCCCUCGACUUGCAUGUGUUAAGCCUGUAGCUAGCGUUCAUC